UCCGAAUGGGGAAACCCACACAUUCGUGUGUACCUUUAGGUGAAUACAUAGCCUACUGGAGCUAACCUCGGGAACUGAAACAUCUAAGUACCGAGAGGAAAAGAAAUCAUAUGAGAUUCCCUAAGUAGCGGCGAGCGAACGGGGAACAGGCCAAACCUGGAGGUUUACCUUCAGGGGUUGUAGGGCCAGAGUCAUGGGACGAUAGGAUAGGCGAAGGGUCUGGAAAGUCCACUAUAGAGCGUGAUAGUCGC
RNAcentral lists this ribosomal RNA (251 nucleotides) under Foraminifera environmental sample. Its description in RNAcentral is "partial Bacterial large subunit ribosomal RNA". It matches the Rfam family "Bacterial large subunit ribosomal RNA", at positions 113 to 374 of the family's 2925-position model. Lineage: Eukaryota; Foraminifera. The record is from RNAcentral.